CUCGUAGGCGGCCAACUAAGUCAGACGUGAAAUCCCCAGGCUCAACCUGGGAACUGUGUCUGAUACUGGAUGGCUUGAAUCCGGGAGAGGGAUGCAGAAUUCCAGGUGUAGCGGUGAAAUGCGUAGAUAUCUGGAGGAAUACCGGUGGCGAAGGCGGCAUCCUGGACCGGCAUUGACGCUGAGGAGCGAAAGCUAGGGGAGCAAACG
Molecule: ribosomal RNA, 207 nt
Filed under: uncultured bacterium
Lineage: Bacteria
Description: partial 16S ribosomal RNA
Rfam family: Bacterial small subunit ribosomal RNA
Source: RNAcentral